CCUACUUUCUUCCUCCUUUCUGCCUCUUGGUCCAUGGCCGGACGUCUGCACCAGCCAUGCCGCGUGCAGGAAGACGGCUCUAUGAGUUGUAAACUGCUUUUGUACAAGGGUAAACCUGAAUACGUGUAUUCAGCUGAAAGUACUUUACGAAUAAGGAUCGGCUAACUCCGUGCCAGCAGCCGCGGUAAUACGGAGGAUCCAAGCGUUAUCCGGCUUUAUUGGGUUUAAAGGGUGAGUAGGCGGAUUGAUAAGUUAGAGGGGAAAUGUCCGAGCUUAACUCGGGAACUGCCUCUAAUCCUGUUGAUCUAGAGAGUAGAUGCGGUAGGCGGAAUGUAUGGUGUAGCGGUGAAAUGCUUAGAGAUCAUACAGAACACCGAUUGCGAAGGCAGCUUACCAAUCUAUAUCUGACGUUGAGGCACGAAAGCGUGGGGAGCAAACAGGAUUAGAUACCCUUGUAGUC
Molecule: ribosomal RNA, 460 nt
Filed under: uncultured bacterium
Lineage: Bacteria
Description: partial 16S ribosomal RNA
Rfam family: Bacterial small subunit ribosomal RNA
Source: RNAcentral